RNAcentral lists this ribosomal RNA (465 nucleotides) under uncultured bacterium. Its description in RNAcentral is "partial 16S ribosomal RNA". It matches the Rfam family "Bacterial small subunit ribosomal RNA", at positions 28 to 507 of the family's 1533-position model. The record is from RNAcentral.
GACGAACGCUGGCGGCGUGCUUAACACAUGCAAGUCGAACGGAAAGGCCCCUUUGGGGGUACUCGAGUGGCGCACGGGUGAGUAACACGUGAGUAACCUGCCCUUGACUUCGGGAUAACUUCAGGAAACUGGGGCUAAUACCGGAUAGGAAUCCUUGCUGCAUGGUGGGGGUUGGAAAGCUUCGGCGGUUUUGGAUGGACUCGCGGCUUAUCAGCUUGUUGGUGGGGUAGUGGCUUACCAAGGCUUUGACGGGUAGCCGGCCUGAGAGGGCGACCGGCCACAUUGGGACUGAGAUACGGCCCAGACUCCUACGGGAGGCAGCAGUGGGGAAUAUUGCACAAUGGGCGGAAGCCUGAUGCAGCAACGCCGCGUGUGGGAUGACGGCCUUCGGGUUGUAAACCGCUUUCAGCAGGGGCGAAGCUUGUGGUGACGGUACCUGCAGAAGAAGCACCGGCUAACUACGUG